RNA transcript from Chionomys nivalis (European snow vole), 5825 nucleotides. It is a transcript of the gene named inositol 1,4,5-triphosphate receptor associated 1, with no coding region annotated. NCBI's taxonomy places the organism in Eukaryota, Metazoa, Chordata, Mammalia, Rodentia, Cricetidae. The record is from RefSeq and is a predicted model, not a curated record. The transcript has 21 exons.
AUGGAACCCAGCUUGGGACAGGGAUGGGAAGGAUUUUGACUUGUCCUUUUGGCAUCUCCCCAGCCUGCGGAGCCCAAGCGUCUUGGAGCAUCUUUGGGGUUGACACAGCAGAGGUUCCAGGCAUACACAACCACUUCAGCCAGGAGGCUGCCAUGCCCCACAUUCCUGAGGAUGAGGAGCCCCCUGGAGAGCCACAGGCAGUCCAAACCCAAGACUCUCCCUCUGCAGGACCAUUUCACAGUCCUCCCACAAUCAUCUUGACGGGGGAUGCCAGUUCACCUGAAGGAGAAACCGACAAAAACCUGCUCAAUAGAGCUCCCAGCCCCCACCGCAGGCUUUCCCACCGACAUCUGAAGGUCUCCACGGCUCCGCUGACUUCUGUGGACCCCACGGGACACGUCAUUGACCUGGUAAAUGACCAGCUGCCGGACAUCAGCAUCUCAGAGGAGGACAAGAAGAAAAACCUGGCGCUUCUGGAAGAAGCCAAGUCGGUGAGUGAGCGAUUCCUGGCCCGCCGCGGGAGGAAAUCAAGGAGCAGCCCCGGAGACUCCCCAUCAGCGGUUUCCCCAAACCUCAGCCCUGGAGCUUCUCCUGCGCCCUCCAGAAGCUGCUCGCUCACCAUCUCCACACCACCAGGUUUCGACACGUGCAGUGGUCCGCAGUCCCCUUUGCCGGGAGGACCACCACAGCAAAAGGGGCAUGAGGCCGACAUCUCCUCAUCUCACCUGGGAGAGCCUAUUGUCUCCAAAGGGCUAGCCGACCGGAAGCAGAAUGACCAGAGGAAAGUGUCUCAAGGCAGACUGGCUCCUCGCUCUCCCACACUGGAGAAAUCCAAAGAACUUAGAGUAGAGCAAAAGGAAAACUUUGAUCCUCUUCAGCAUCCGGAGGCCACGCCCAUGGCUCAGGCUUCAGGAGCAAGUAUCAGUGGGAAAAUGGCCCUGAACAGCCCCAAGUCUGGCCCUGCUGAGACAGAACUCGGGAGGCAGCUCCAGAAGACAGCCAGGGAAGGCGGCCCUCUGCCCCGAGGUGCAGUCCAAGGCUCAGGAGGAACUGUUUCCCCACAUCCGCAGGGACAAGGCUCUGCAGGAGAGCCUGUGGGGCUUAAGGCUGGUCCCAAAGCUGAGCUGCGGCCCCCUGUGUCCCGCCCCCCUUUGAUACGGGGAGUCUCUUGGGACAGCAGUCCUGAAGAACCUGGUCCCCUGCUGCAGAAGGUACUUGCCAAACUGCCUCUGUCAGAGGAAGAGAAGCGGUUUCCAGGCAAAGCCAAGUUAGCCAAGCCGCCUGGGCUCAAAGACUUCCAGAUACAAGUACAGCCGGUGCGCAUGCAGAAACUGACCAAGCUUCGGGAGGAACAUAUCAUGAUGAGAAACCAGAACCUGGUGGGGUUCAAGCUUCCUGAAUUGAGUGAGGCUGCGGAGCAGGACAAAGGGGUCUCUUCUGAACUCGCCCCAGCAGCUGAGGAAGAAGAGUCGAAGAGCGGUCUGGAUGUGAUGCCCAGCAUUUCUGACAUACUGCUACGCAAACUGAGGGUGCAUAAGACGCUCACUGGAAGUGCCCCUCCACUCACUGAGAAGGAAGUUGAGAACGUGUUUGUACAACUGUCCUUGGCCUUUAGAAAUGACAGCUACACCUUGGAGUCUAGAAUUAACCAGGCUGAAAGGGAACGCAACCUGACGGAAGAGAACACCGAGAAGGAGCUGGAGAACUUCAAAGCUUCCAUUACGUCCUCAUCCUCCAUCUGGUACCACUGUGAGCACCGAGAGACCUAUCAGAAGCUUCUGGAAGACAUAGCGGUCUUGCAUCGUCUGGCUGCCCGCCUCUCCAGCCGGGCCGAAGUGGUGGGGGCUGUGCGCCAGGAAAAGCGCAUGUCAAAGGCGACGGAAGUGAUGAUGCAGUAUGUGGAGAAUCUGAAGAGAACAUACGAGAAGGACCACGCCGAGCUCAUGGAAUUUAAGAAACUCGCAAAUCAGAAUUCAAGCCGCAGCUGUGGUCCCUCUGAAGAUGGGGUCCCACGCACGGCGCGAUCUAUGUCCCUCACGAUGGGCAAGAACAUGCCCCGCCGGAGGGUCAGUGUUGCCGUGGUUCCCAAGUUUAAUGCCCUGAACCUUCCUGGCCAAGCCCCCAGCUCAUCACCCAUCCCUUCCCUACCAGCUCUGUCUGAAACGCCCAACGGAAAAGGCAACAUAGCCGCCCCACCGGUGCUGCCUGCACUUUUGGAAAAUGGAAAGACAAAUGCAGAGGCCGACUGUGAAGCUUGUGCCCCCGCGUUGCUCCCAAGCUGCCUGGAGGACGUGAGCCAGGAGACCAAAGCCAGGGCAGAGGAAGAAGUCUACAGCAAAGGAUAUCAGGAAGGGGUAAAGAAGACGGAAGAACUUCAAGACCUGAAGGAGGAGGAAGAGCAGAAGACAGAGAGUCCCGAGGAACCAGCGGAGGUAGAAGAAACUGAGGAGGAAGAGAAGGAGCAGAGAAGCAGCAAACUUGAAGAACUGGUCCAUUUCCUACAAGUCAUGUAUCCCAAAUUGUGUCAACACUGGCAAGUGAUCUGGAUGAUGGCCGCGGUGAUGCUGGUCUUGAGUGUUGUGCUUGGGUUCUACAACUCCUAUAACUCAUGUACAGAGCAGACCGAGGGGCCCCCUGGGAGAUCCACCUGCUCCGCGGCCCAGCGGGACUCGUGGUGGAGCUCAGGACUCCAGCAAGAGCAGCCAGCGGAGCAGUAGGGCCUCAGACUCCUUAGCCAUACCCUCCUCUAGUGCAUUCACCCCACACCCUGCCCCCGUGGACAGUGUGCCAGACCCAGGUGUGCCCACGUGGCCACCCAUCCCAUCGGGGAACAAGGAGGCUUUCUCUUCCCCCUCGUCACCUCCUUGGAAGCUACUCACACACCAUAAGCUGAUGGUUUGAAGGGAUCAGCAAAACUUCUCUGGGAAAGCGUCUGGUGGACAAAAAGUGACCUUCACAAAGGACUCUGACACAAGGGAAGAGCCCUGUCCCUGACCCAGAGGGCUGGGAGAACUGAAGGCCCUUCAUUCAGGGGACAGUGAGAAGCCUGCUCUCUGUUUUCCUCCCUAUGUUUCAGAAUCAGGAAGAGUUGCAGUUAAUGGCCAGUACUGACCAUAACGAUCAGACCUAGGACUUGGAGUCACAGCGUGGAUAUCUUCCCACUUCAUUUGCCACGACCACUCUUUAGCCUUCUCUCUCUCCUUCAGAAUCACCAUUUCUUGUCAGAUCGUGGGAAAAGCUUCCUCAGAAAAGUACACAGGCUAAAAGUAGCCCCAUGCUCGAAAGGAAGCAGGAAGAUGUGAGUUAAUAUAUAACGUAUCUUUAUGCAUCCGGACUGUACACACAUGUUUGUGCACAGACACCCACUCUCUGGAAGUGUGCUCUGCUCAGUGGCAGCCAUGUUGUGCCAAGAAAUUGGCUUUCACUGGGUAUGGAACAGUAGUCACCAGGCAUCAAUACAGGGAGCCCUCCACACACUCUGAAGAUGUUUGAAAGCCCUAAGAAAUCACAUCUGCAUUGCACGUCCAGUACCAGUUUGGAGCUGUUCUUCUGCACGGUCUGUUCCCUGGUUGUGUAGUGCCUUUGAAAGUGAUCCUACAUAGCUAACCCACCCCUUGGGUAAGAAAAGGUGUGCCUUCCACUCUGAACUCUCACUCUGCCUUGCACCUCAGGGCUGGCGUUCUCAUGGUGUUUCCUGCCCAAAUGUGUCCUUUGGAAGACCCGCUCAGCAUCAAACCGAAGGAGCGCGCCUCACCUCCAGCACGGCGUCUCUCACACUGUUCAGCUGUUACCCUCAUUCAGCUCUCAUCAGCUAGAGAUAGGACUUCUGUGGUGGUUGCUUUUCAUUGUUUUUGUUGCUAACAUUCAUGUAGACCUUAUUGUGAAUCAAAACUGUCUCAGUGUUAUAUAGAUAGCAAUUCAUUUAGUCCUCAGGAAAAACAAAAUCUGAAAUGGGGGUUUCUCUUUCUCUGUUCAAAAAAGGAAACAGAAGCAUAAAUGAUACAAGAACACACGCACACAUACACACAAACAUACACACACAUAUACACACACUGAUACAACUCGUCGAGCAUAUAUAGCUAGUAAGUAAAUCAUUCGAACUAGAGUGGUCUGGCUCCAGGGCUGUACCCCUGACCCUUCUCCUAUGGUCUCUCAGGUAGGCGCCUUCCAGCCUGAUCCCACCCCUGCCCCAGCUGGCCCUUCUGCUUCAAACCUGCCAUGGUUCCCAAAUGAAAUUGCUUCUCCUUCUAUAGGUCAGCUCAUGAGCAUCUCUCCUGCCCUUGUCCUCUUCUCGCCAAUCUUGAGGACCAGUCACAAACACUACCCCUCCAUACAGGCCUCAGUGACUGCCUUCCACGUUCUCACCAUGCCCAGCAUCCUGGGGGCAUCCCACUUAGUGCUUAUGGUGAAAUUUCAACCCUUGACCUGUAUCUAUGGUCUAGCUUAUUUAUACAUCUGCCUCCCUGGACGUUGUCCCUCAAAUACUAUGCCUUACCGUCUCUUGGGUAGGUACCUAACAUGGCAAACACUUUGGAGGGAAUUAUUCAAUGUUGGUUGAAAGAACAAGAGAGCAUUGAAGGUGGAGAGCAACCUAGAACAUGAGGUUUCCCAAUACCAUAACCCUCAGCACCUUCCUGUCUCCAUGAGAAACCUGUCAUGAUUGAUUCCUAACCUCAGCUUGUUUUUAUCUUUCCCUGUUUACUCUGAGAGAACAAGAAUGGAACCAGACUACAGCAAUCCCUUUUCCCGAGUUCAAGUACAAGAUUCCAUGCAAUCAAUCACUCCUUUUAGACAGACAUGCCCGUCCUCUACCAACCCCGACUAGGCCUCCCUUUAAAAUGCUGGUUUUGAAGGGAUGUCCUUUACAGUGGAUGAAAAUGGCAGAGUGAGGAACCUGGAUGUGCCAUUAAAGGUAAUGGGAUUCAGAGUGAGGCAGUGGGAUUUUACAGGCAUAGGUAGAUUGUUUACCUGGUGUCUUCCAUAGGAACAAAUACAGCCAAAGGAGAUUUAGUUACUAAGCACUGUAUAGCCAAAGAAAGGGUGUAGACAGAACACAGAGAGAGCAGCUGUUAGGACUCUAGGGGUCAAUGUCUAGUCUCAGUCCACCCCCACACCAAAAGAAGGUCCAACUUGAGCGAGCCCUUCGUCUUUUGGGCCACAAAUUCCCAUCCCGUUCUAGGUGAGACAGAGUCAAGGGGAGCAUCUGCAAAUUGCCUCAGCAUCAGUGCUGGCCUCUGAAGCCUGCAAGAGCCUGGGGCCUAGACCAGCAACCACUCCAGCUGUGAGGACAGCUGAGGAAAAGAGCAUCUCCAAAGAGCAUAGCCAUACCUAGAACAGCGUGGCUGAAAACACCCUCGUUGGGCCACCUUUUCAAGAAAACGGGAUAACUUGAAGCAGGUACAGCUGCUGCCACACACGGCCAGUGACACGGAAGCCAGUCUUGUGUUUCCCGACAUCACAGCAAAAUGAAAUAAAACUUUCCAUUCAAGAUGCCUCUGAAACCGGACAUUUCUGCUUAGCCUCCAGCGUCUGGUUGCCAGCCUUCUACUGCAGAGGAAUGUGUUUGCGUCACCACUGAUGUCACUUCCUAAAGGACCUCCACUUUCUAGCCACCAUGAAGUCUGUCUCCUUUGUACAGCCUGGAAGAGGGAACAGCAAGGGGGACGCUGGACCUAUGUCACCGGCUGUCAGUCCUUCACGUUAAGCCCCGCACAGACUCCUGGGGGUUAUUCCGAGGCCCUGCAGGCCUACGUCUGCCAGCUGGAAGACAGAUGUUGCCCUAAGACCUGCCCUCAGCGACCAUGGAGGACCCUGGGGUGGCUGUC